CGGCUUUUUCGCGGCUGAGCUCGACCGCCAGCGCCGGUAGUGCUCGACUAUAUCGAUGAGCGCAAGGAGCGGUUCGGGGUCGAGUCGAUCUGCGCCGUACUCAAGGAUGCCGGUGUUCAGACCGCCCCG
Molecule: non-coding RNA, 129 nt
Organism: Frankia sp.
Lineage: Bacteria; Bacillati; Actinomycetota; Actinomycetes; Frankiales; Frankiaceae
Source: Rfam